This 482-nucleotide ribosomal RNA is filed under the name uncultured bacterium. RNAcentral's name for it is "partial 16S ribosomal RNA". It matches the Rfam family "Bacterial small subunit ribosomal RNA", at positions 30 to 507 of the family's 1533-position model. The record is from RNAcentral.
AUUGAACGCUGGCGGCAUGCUUUACACAUGCAAGUCGAACGGUAACAGGCCGCAAGGUGCUGACGAGUGGCGAACGGGUGAGUAAUGCAUCGGAACGUGCCCAGUCGUGGGGGAUAACUACUCGAAAGAGUAGCUAAUACCGCAUACGAUCUAUGGAUGAAAGCGGGGGACCGUAAGGCCUCGCGCGAUUGGAGCGGCCGAUGUCAGAUUAGGUAGUUGGUGGGGUAAAGGCUCACCAAGCCAACGAUCUGUAGCUGGUCUGAGAGGACGACCAGCCACACUGGGACUGAGACACGGCCCAGACUCCUACGGGAGGCAGCAGUGGGGAAUUUUGGACAAUGGGCGCAAGCCUGAUCCAGCAGUGCCGCGUGCAGGAAGAAGGCCUUCGGGUUGUAAACUGCUUUUGUACGGAACGAAACGGCUCUGGUUAAUACCCGGGGCUAAUGACGGUACCGUAAGAAUAAGCACCGGCUAACUACGUG